Molecule: ribosomal RNA, 26 nt
Filed under: Dermanyssus sp. JBO51
Lineage: Eukaryota; Metazoa; Arthropoda; Arachnida; Mesostigmata; Dermanyssidae
Description: partial 28S ribosomal RNA
Source: RNAcentral
GAAAUCAAGUGUGACGACCCCCUGAA